GACAGAGGUCCCGAGCGUUAGGCGGAAUUACUGGGCGUAAAGCGUACGCAGGCGGCUUUGCAAGACAGGUGUGAAAUCCCCGGGCCUAACCUGGGAACUGCAUUUGUGACUGCAUAGCUAGAGUUUGUCAGAGGGGGGUGGAAUUCCACGUGUAGCAGUGAAAUGCGUAGAUAUGUGGAGGAACACCGAUGGCGAAGGCAGCCCCCUGGGAUGUGACUGACGCUCAUGUACGAAAGCGUGGGGAGCAAACAGG
RNAcentral lists this ribosomal RNA (253 nucleotides) under uncultured bacterium. Its description in RNAcentral is "partial 16S ribosomal RNA". It matches the Rfam family "Bacterial small subunit ribosomal RNA", at positions 524 to 776 of the family's 1533-position model. The record is from RNAcentral.